UACGUAGGGUGCGAGCGUUAAUCGGAUUUACUGGGCGUAAAGCGUGCGCAGGCGGCCCGUGAAGACAGGUGUGAAAUCCCUGGGCUCAACCUAGGAAUUGCGCUUGUGACUGGCGGGCUCGAGUACGGUAGAGGGGGGUGGAAUUCCUGGUGUAGCAGUGAAAUGCGUAGAGAUCAGGAGGAACACCGAUGGCGAAGGCAGCCCCCUGGGCCUGUACUGACGCUCAUGCACGAAAGCGUGGGGAGCAAACAGG
This 253-nucleotide ribosomal RNA is filed under the name uncultured microorganism. RNAcentral describes it as "partial 16S ribosomal RNA". It matches the Rfam family "Bacterial small subunit ribosomal RNA", at positions 524 to 776 of the family's 1533-position model. The record is from RNAcentral.